AAAUAAUAAUAAUAAAAAUAAAAAAUAAAGAGAACUCCAGUGCAAUUUUGUGCAGUUUCAGUUUUUUUAACUUAAAUGAGAUUUACACGAGAUAAAUAACUUAAAAGAGAUUUACAUGAGAUCCCUGUCCAUCAACAUAGACAAGAAAGAGUGCAGUCUUGCAAGUCAACUUAAUAGUAAUCCACGGUUCAAUGAGGUAACAGAUAAAAGAAUUAUGCACAUUUUGAUUAGAAAGGAAAAUUACUAUUUAGUACCUAUAUUUUAACGAAACUAACUACUUG
This 281-nucleotide unclassified non-coding RNA is filed under the name Hevea brasiliensis (rubber tree). Lineage: Eukaryota; Viridiplantae; Streptophyta; Magnoliopsida; Malpighiales; Euphorbiaceae. The record is from RNAcentral.